RNA transcript from Amyelois transitella, 1616 nucleotides. It is a transcript of the gene named putative transferase CAF17 homolog, mitochondrial, with no coding region annotated. The transcript is spliced from 2 exons. Lineage: Eukaryota; Metazoa; Arthropoda; Insecta; Lepidoptera; Pyralidae. The record is from RefSeq and is a predicted model, not a curated record.
UGUCACAGUCAUUAUCUGCCACUGCCACUGUCAUAACGGACAACAAUGAAAAAACAACAAGAAAUCAACAUUAUGGAAAAGUUUGUUUGUGUGAUGUAAGAAAUAUGAAAUUUUUGCAAUAUUAAAUUCAACAUGCAAGCAAAAUAGGCAGUUAUUUCUAAUAAAAAGUCACAAUGUUACUGAACCAGGUAAAUAGAUUUGCUAUCAAGCGUUCUUUUUUAAAUCAAUUUUACCGAUGUACGCAUACUAAGAACACAAAUGUUCUUUAUCCACUGGAAAGUAGGAGACUGAUAAAAGUUAAAGGAAAAGAUGCACCUGUGUUUCUGCAAGGUCUCAUUACAAACGACAUGCGGCAUUUUGAUGAAGGCGCCCAGUCUAUGUACGCUAUGUUUUUGAACAACAAGGGCAGAGUUUUGUAUGACACCCUUAUUCACAAAUGGGAAACAGACGAUUCAUUUCUGAUUGAGUGUGACAAAAAUGUAACUAGUUUAUUACAAAAACAUUUGAAAUUGUUCAAACUAAAAAGAUCUCUUGAUAUAGUAGACAUGAAUCAAGAUUUCAGGAUAUGGUCAUUGAUAAGUCCAACUAGUGAACCAAUUGAUGUAAAGCCAGAUCAAAAAAGUACGGUUAAAUUGUACAAAGAUCCCAGGUUGGUUGAUUUAGGCUACAGAGUAUUAACAUCUCCAGCCUUAAAAGGCUCUGAAGUAGCCGAGAGAAUUGGAGAGAAUAUAAAAACAGAAGAGAAUGAAGAUGGUUAUAAAUAUUUGAGGUACACUUUAGGAGUGGGUGAGGGUGCUGAAGACCUGGUUCCAACAGUAUGCUUUCCUUUAGAAGUGAACUGUGAUUAUCUCCAUGGAGUUAGUUUCCACAAAGGCUGUUAUAUUGGUCAAGAGUUAACAGCACGAGUGCACCAUACAGGUGUUGUAAGGAAACGAAUUAUGCCUUUAAAAUUCAAAGAAAAUGUAAAAGUGCACUUGGAGAAAGAUGCAGAAAUAUCAAUCACUGAUAAACCAAAAGUCAAAGUUGGAAAAUUAAAAAGUUAUCUUCGGAAUCGUGGUUUAGGUUUAGUUAGGAUAAAAGAAGGCCUUGAAGCUGAUAGUCUCUGUGUUGGGAACUGUUCCGCAGAGGUUGUGAAGCCAAGUUGGUGGCCGGUUGAGGCUCCCAAAGAGAAAUUAACUGCAACAAAAGAAUAGCUGAGACACACUUGAGCAGAAAAAUUGAAUAAAUCAAAACUUUUUUAUCACUUAUUAUAAAAUGACAGACAAGAGCAAAGAGCAGCCUGAACAAGUUGUUUACAAUUUCCAAUGUUCUGUUUGUGGUAUGACAGAGAAAGCUAACUACAAGGGAACCAAUCCACCAUUCUCCCGCAACAUAGAGUUAAAAUGGCCAAGUUAUGUGAUGAAGGACCCCUUCAGCCCGCCUGGCAAAGGUGAAAUCCUUGUGUUAGGCGCAGACUGUGCUAUGUGCAAUAAGUGUGUUUGUAUCAACAAAGAGUGCAGCAUAUUCUAUACGAAAAUGUUUUGUUUCAAUUGUGCUCAUAAUUCAAUUGACAAAUUACCAACAGAGAUCAAGUCAAAAUUUACUCAACUUAGGAAACAAUAAAUAUUUAUACUGAG